Molecule: ribosomal RNA, 116 nt
Organism: Chrysemys picta bellii (western painted turtle)
Lineage: Eukaryota; Metazoa; Chordata; Testudines; Emydidae
Source: Ensembl
GCCUACAGCCAUACUAGCUCAGGCUGGGGUCUUAUCAGAUUUCAGAACCUAGAUGAGUUGAGCCUGGUCAGUACUUUGCUGGGAGACAUCCAUGGACUAGAGAGAUGUUGCAGGAA